Molecule: long non-coding RNA, 651 nt
Organism: Trachemys scripta elegans
Lineage: Eukaryota; Metazoa; Chordata; Testudines; Emydidae
Exons: 3
Source: RefSeq, a predicted model, not a curated record
CCACAGACAGAUGAUUCUCCAGCCAUGCUGGCUGUAACCAGCCCCUGGGGUAUAAGAAUCAGGUCUAAUUCCACACGUGGUCCUAAGGAGGACACAGCCCCAGCCCCAGCUGAGCUCUGAGCUGACCUGGGACUGCAGCACCAAAGAGCUACGCCGAGGGACCACAAGUGCAGUGCAGUGAUGAGAGGGGGGCUUGCCCCGCCCCCCGGGAGAGAGCCCAGCUGUAACUGUCCCGUCUCCUGGCCCCAUUGGCUCUCUGGCUAUAACCCUGGCCCUCUCCAGGAGCUGGGAGCACACUCAGCAAGCAAGCAGGACCUGAUUGAAGACAAUGGCCCAAAUCCCAUUGAUUUAGAUGGGAACAAGCUGAGACCCGUGUUCCUUGCUCACCGAAACUGCCCUUCUCCACCUUCCCCUCCCCCAUCAGCUAGAGGUGCGGGAGUCCCCGGCCAUUCUCCAAGAUUUACACCGUCUCUGGCCUGCUUGUCACUUGCACUGAAGCCUGUUCAACACUCAUUGUUAACAACAGGCCAUGAUGGGGAAACUGAGGCACAGAGUGGCAACACGGCGAGUCAGCGGCAGAGCUGCUCAGAGGUGGAUGGACUACGCCGGUGGCUAAUGCUGGUGGAGCUGAACUGAUCUUCACAACAACAG